Long non-coding RNA from Achroia grisella, 493 nucleotides. RefSeq lists it as uncharacterized. The record is from RefSeq and is a predicted model, not a curated record. The transcript is spliced from 3 exons. NCBI's taxonomy places the organism in Eukaryota, Metazoa, Arthropoda, Insecta, Lepidoptera, Pyralidae.
UAUAAGCAAAAAAUAUUUUAAUAAUAUUAAUAAUUUUUCAAUGAAAUAUCAAUUGUUAUUUCAAACAAUCGUACAAUAAGAAUUUCACAUUAUGAAACGCUUUAGAAUAUGAAUACAUGACAAAAAAGAAGUGCAAAAAAAUGUUUUGGUUUUCAAGUGCUCGACAGGAUUUCAUCCAAAGUUUUUAUUUAAAAUUUGAUGCCUUAAGAGCUAAAUAUAAAUGACUAUAAUUUAAAACAAGAUUGUGUUGAGCUUCCAUUUGUGUUAAGGGUAUUUCCGUGAAAAUAAAUACAUAAUUUUGUUCUACAGCUAGACGCUCCUAUUAAAGCUUGCUCUUCACAAAACAUGACCAGUGAGGAAGGAAAUGGAAAGGAGAUUUGACUGGACAUUAAUUUGGAAGGUAGUAGCCUGCUGAAAAGUCCAGAUGUGAGCAACUUGUAAUUCAGGAUUUUGCUGCCCUACUGAUUCUUGAAGAGAUAUUACAGAUGGUUAC